RNAcentral lists this ribosomal RNA (253 nucleotides) under uncultured bacterium. RNAcentral describes it as "partial 16S ribosomal RNA". It matches the Rfam family "Bacterial small subunit ribosomal RNA", at positions 524 to 776 of the family's 1533-position model. The record is from RNAcentral.
UACGUAGGUGACUAGCGUUGUCCGGAUUUACUGGGCGUAAAGAGCGCGCAGGCGGUCGUUCAAGUCGAGUGUGAAAGCCCCCGGCUCAACUGGGGAGGGUCACUUGAUACUGAUCGACUCGAAGGCAGGAGAGGGAAGCGGAAUUCCCGGUGUAGUGGUGAAAUGCGUAGAUAUCGGGAGGAACACCAGUGGCGAAGGCGGCUUCCUGGCCUGUUCUUGACGCUGAGGCGCGAAAGCUAGGGGAGCAAACGGG